RNAcentral lists this unclassified non-coding RNA (333 nucleotides) under soil metagenome. RNAcentral describes it as "partial contains 5.8S ribosomal RNA, internal transcribed spacer 2, and large subunit ribosomal RNA". The stretch from base 2 to 119 matches the Rfam family "5.8S ribosomal RNA", at positions 37 to 154 of the family's 154-position model. The record is from RNAcentral.
GUGAAGAACGUAGCGAAAUGCGAUAAGUAAUGUGAAUUGCAGAAUUCAGUGAAUCAUCGAAUCUUUGAACGCACAUUGCGCCCGCCAGUAUUCUGGCGAGCAUGCCUGUUCGAGCGUCAUUUCAACCAUCAAGCCCCAGGCUUGUGUUGGAGCCCUGCGGCUGCCGCAGCCUCCCAAAACCAGUGGCGGGCUCGCUAUCACACCGAGUGCAGUAGUUUACUCUUCGCUCAGGGCGUGUGGCGGGUGCUAGCCGUGAAACCCCCAACUUCUCAAGGUUGACCUCGGAUCAGGUAGGAAUACCCGCUGAACUUAAGCAUAUCAAUAAGCGGAGGA